RNAcentral lists this ribosomal RNA (482 nucleotides) under uncultured bacterium. RNAcentral's name for it is "partial 16S ribosomal RNA". It matches the Rfam family "Bacterial small subunit ribosomal RNA", at positions 355 to 853 of the family's 1533-position model. The record is from RNAcentral.
UAGGGAAUAUUGGUAAUCUGGGAAACCGGGAACCAGCAACGCCGCGUGCACGAUGAAGGCCUUCGGGUCGUAAAAGUGCUUUUUGAAGGGAUGAGGAAGGACAGUACCUUCAGAAUAAGCCUCGGCUAACUACGUGCCAGCAGCCGCGGUAAAACGUAGGAGGCGAGCGUUAUCCGGAUUUACUGGGCGUAAAGCGUGUGUAGGCGGUUUGAUAAGUUGGAUGUGAAAGCUCCCGGCUCAACUGGGAGAGGUCGUUCAAAAACUAUCAGACUAGAGAGUGGUAGAGGGAGGUGGAAUCCCGCGUGUAGUGGUGAAAUGCGUAGAUAUGCGGAGGAACACCAGUGGCGAAAGCGGCCUCCUGGCCCAAUUUCUGACGCUCAGCACGAAGCUAAGGUAGCAAACGGGAUUAGAGACCCGGUAGUCUUAGCUGUAAACGAUGUGAACUUAGUGUCGGUGGGGUUAAAUCCAUCGGUACUGAAGCU